This 682-nucleotide long non-coding RNA is filed under the name Piliocolobus tephrosceles (Ugandan red Colobus). RNAcentral's name for it is "lncRNA (ENSPTEG00000023703.1)". Lineage: Eukaryota; Metazoa; Chordata; Mammalia; Primates; Cercopithecidae. The record is from RNAcentral.
AUGGCCUUCAUGUUUAAGCGAGAGGGCAAUUACUGCAAAAAUAGAUUACACGAGUCAUUUCAAAAAAACAAAAGUUUUAUUAAUCGUCUUAUGUACGAUAUGACUGCCUUUCAUUACGAAAAUUACAUGAAAAAUAAAAUCUACUCAAAUAUUAUGGCUAACUACAACAAUAUUGAAAAAUUACAGUCUAUGUUGAAUUUAAUAAAUGGUGAUAAAGAAAAUGCUUUUAAAAUUAAAACAGGUCAAUUUUAUUUCAGAACUGGAGUACCAGUCAUAACUCCAUACAUCGAACAAGCAAACGAAUUUGCUGAAAACAAUAACUAUAUGUACAAUUUUAAAACUCUUAAAAGUAAAUAUUUAAAAGAAGUAUAUGAUUCAUAUAAGCACAAAAUUGGUGGAACGGACCCCUCAGUUCCUGUUUUUUACAAACACAAAUAGGUGAACAUGAACAUGAACAUGAACAUGAAUAUGAAUUAUUUUUUUUUUUUUUUUUUUUUUUUUUUUAAAUGAGCAUACAUAUUUAUACAACAUACAUAUGUACAUAUAUUACUAGCAAAACAUACUUUAAAAUAUAACCACAUUAUACAUUUUUGCAUUACAAUAUAUUUGUAAGCAAAGACAAAAAAUUAAUUUUUUUUUUAUGUUACAUGAAUAAAAUGGCUUUAGUUAGCUAAUUUAUACA